GAUGAACGCUGGCGGCGUGCCUAAUACAUGCAAGUCGAGCGAACAGAUAAGGAGCUUGCUCCUUUGACGUUAGCGGCGGACGGGUGAGUAACACGUGGGUAACCUACCUAUAAGACUGGGAUAACUUCGGGAAACCGGAGCUAAUACCGGAUAACAUUUGGAACGCAUGGUUCUAAGUAGAAAAAUGGUUUGUCUAUCACUUAUAGAUGGACCGCGCCGUACUUAGCUAGUUGGUAAGGUAACGGCGUUACCAAGGCAACGAUACGUAGCCGACCUCGAGAGGGUGAUCGGCCACACUGGAACUGAGACACGGUCCAGACUCCUACGGGAGGCAGCAGUAGGAAUACUUCGCAAUGGGCGAAAGCCUGACGGAGCAACGCCGCGUGAGUGAUGAAGGGUUUCGGC
This 405-nucleotide ribosomal RNA is filed under the name uncultured bacterium. RNAcentral describes it as "bacterial SSU rRNA". It matches the Rfam family "Bacterial small subunit ribosomal RNA", at positions 28 to 422 of the family's 1533-position model. The record is from RNAcentral.